RNAcentral lists this ribosomal RNA (253 nucleotides) under uncultured bacterium. RNAcentral describes it as "partial 16S ribosomal RNA". It matches the Rfam family "Bacterial small subunit ribosomal RNA", at positions 524 to 776 of the family's 1533-position model. The record is from RNAcentral.
UACGUAGGGUGCAAGCGUUAAUCGGAAUUACUGGGCGUAAAGCGUGCGCAGGCGGUUAUGUAAGACAGAUGUGAAAUGCCCGGGCUUAACCUGGGAACUGCAUUUGUGACUGCAUGGCUAGAGUGUGUCAGAGGGGGGUAGAAUUCCACGUGUAGCAGUGAAAUGCGUAGAUAUGUGGAGGAACACCGAUGGCGAAGGCAGCCCCCUGGGUCAAAACUGACGCUCAUGCACGAAAGCGUGGGGAGCAAACAGG